Molecule: long non-coding RNA, 834 nt
Filed under: Macaca fascicularis (crab-eating macaque)
Lineage: Eukaryota; Metazoa; Chordata; Mammalia; Primates; Cercopithecidae
Description: lncRNA (ENSMFAG00000065188.1)
Source: RNAcentral
AGCCCUUUGGGACUUCCAAUGGGAUCUUAGAAGCAGCAGAAGCAUCGUGAGGGCGGCAGCCCAGGGCCAGCCACGAUUUGAACGCUCUGCCUUGCAGCUCUUCUGGACCGAGGAUCCCAAAGCCCUACCCUCACCAUUCACCAGAAUCUGUCUUAGGAAGCUGUUCUGAGGAUCUCCAUCCCCCCAGAAAGAACUGGCCGUUGUGGAAAUCCAAGUUACGGUUCUUAUCUGAGUGAAUACACAUGGCUCUGUUACGAAAAAGUAAGAUUACAACUUUUGAAAAUAAUGAUUUAAAAACAGAUAUUUGGGGAGGAUGGUUUUGAGGCUCGGGCUUGGCUUUUUUCUUCUUUCUUGGAUUAUCUUUGAUUUUCAUGGAUAGUUUUCCCACAGGCACUUUUUGGCAUCAUCAUUUCUGGAUGAUUCCCAUGGAGAGUUGUUCAGUAUUUUAGUCAGAAGUGAACUUAUUGGCUGGGCGCACUGGCUCACGCCUAUAAUCCUAGCACCUUGGGAGGCCGAGGUGGGCGGAUCAGUUGAGCUCAGGAGUUUGAGACCAGCUUGAGUAACAUGGCGAGACCCCAUCUCUACAAAAAAUACAAAAAUUAGCCAGGCGUGGUGGCGGGCACCUGUAGUCUCAGCUACUCAGGAGGCUGAGGCAGGAAGAUCACUUGAGCCUGGGAGGCAGAGGCUGCAGUGAGCUGAGAUCGCACCACUGCAUGCCAGCCUGGGAGACAGAGUGAGACCCCGUCUCAAAAAAAAAGAAAAGAAGAAGAAGUGGAAGUGAACUUACAACAGGGAUCAUAUAGUUCUAUAAAACUUGCAAAAAUAACGCAUUUU